GGGUUGAGUAACGCGUUGAGUAACCUGCUCCUGGAGUGGGGGAACAACAGUUGGAAACGACUGCUAAUACCGCAUAAGCCCACGAUCCGGCAUCGGAUUGAGGGAAAAGGAUUUAUUCGCUUCAGGAUGGACUCGCGUCCAAUUAGCUAGUUGGUGAGGUAACGGCCCACCAAGGCGACGAUUGGUAGCCGGACUGAGAGGUUGAACGGCCACAUUGGGACUGAGACACGGCCCAGACUCCUACGGGAGGCAGCAGUGGGGGAUAUUGCACAAUGGGGGAAACCCUGAUGCAGCGACGCCGCGUGGAGGAAGAAGGUUUUCGGAUUGUAAACUCCUGUCGUUAGGGACGAUAAUGACGGUACCUAACAAGAAAGCACCGGCUAACUACGUGCCAGCAGCCGCGGUAAAACGUAGGGUGCAAGCGUUGUCCGGAUUACUGGGUGUAAAGGGAGCGCAGGCGGACCGCAAGUUGGAAUGAAACUAUGGCUCAACCCAUNAAAUGCUUUCAAAACUGCUGGCCUUGAGUAGUGCAGAGGUAGGUGGAAUUCCCGGUGUAGCGGUGGAAUGCGUAGAUAUCGGGAGGAACACCAGUGGCGAAGGCGACCUACUGGGCACCAACUGACGCUGAGGCUCGAAAGCAUGGGUAGCAAACAGGAUUAGAUACCCUGGUAGUCCAUGCCGUAAACGAUGAUUACUAGGUGUUGGAGGAUUGACCCCUUCAGUGCCGCAGUUAACACAAUAAGUAAUCCACCUGGGGAGUACGACCGCAAGGUUGAAACUCAAAGGAAUUGACGGGGGCCCGCACAAGCAGUGGAGUAUGUGGUUUAAUUCGAAGCAACGCGAAGAACCUUACCAGGUCUUGACAUCCGAUGCAUAGUGCAGAGAUGCAUGAAGUCCUUCGGGACAUCGAGACAGGUGGUGCAUGGUUGUCGUCAGCUCGUGUCGUGAGAUGUUGGGUUAAGUCCCGCAACGAGCGCAACCCUUAUUGCCAGUUACUACGAAAGAGGACUCUGGCGAGACUGCCGUUGACAAAACGGAGGAAGGUGGGGAUGACGUCAAAUCAUCAUGCCCUUUAUGACCUGGGCUACACACGUACUACAAUGGCGUUUAACAAAGAGAAGCAAGACCGCGAGGUGGAGCAAAAACUCAAAAAACAACGUCUCAGUUCAGAUUGCAGGCUGCAAACUCGCCUGCAGAAAGUCGGAAUUGCUAGUAAUCGCGGAAUCAGGCAUGGCCGCGGGUAAAUACGUUCCCGGGGCCCUU
This 1263-nucleotide ribosomal RNA is filed under the name uncultured bacterium. RNAcentral describes it as "bacterial SSU rRNA". It matches the Rfam family "Bacterial small subunit ribosomal RNA", at positions 100 to 1384 of the family's 1533-position model. The record is from RNAcentral.